Molecule: transfer RNA, 72 nt
Filed under: Bos taurus (domestic cattle)
Lineage: Eukaryota; Metazoa; Chordata; Mammalia; Artiodactyla; Bovidae
Also listed under: 2 other names
Rfam family: tRNA
About the family: Transfer RNA (tRNA) molecules are approximately 80 nucleotides in length. Their secondary structure includes four short double-helical elements and three loops (D, anti-codon, and T loops).
Source: Rfam by way of RNAcentral
UCCUGGGUAGCUCAGCUGGUAAAGAAGCUGCUUGCAAUGCAGGUGACCCUGGUUCGAUUCCUGGGUCGGGAA